Passer domesticus (house sparrow) is the source of this 6080-nucleotide long non-coding RNA. RefSeq lists it as uncharacterized. The record is from RefSeq and is a predicted model, not a curated record. NCBI's taxonomy places the organism in Eukaryota, Metazoa, Chordata, Aves, Passeriformes, Passeridae. The transcript is spliced from 6 exons.
UAUUAUUUGCUACAUAGAAAAGGGUCGCUGAGAGGGGUAGAACUUAAGCAGGCAAAAAGAAUCAUAAAAUCCUAGAAUGGUUUUGGUUGGAAGGGACUUAAAAAAUCACCCUCGCUGUGGACAGGGACACCUUCUGUUAGACCACUUUGAAAUAAAUAGAUGAAAAGGUAAGCAGUGUCAAAUAUGCAUGAAUUAGUGUUUACUAUAUUUAUAUGCCUGUGUUUAAGGGCAAUUUUAUGACAGUAUUUCCUUACAAGAGCAGAGAAAAUGAUGUCUGGUCUAACUUGAAUCAAAAACAAGUUGAUGGGUCCUCAAUCUGCAAGGCAGGACAGAGGACCUGGUGGAAAAAGGUGUGUGCACUGGAAGUUUGGCACUUGUAAAAGUGAUCACUGUAGGAGCUGAACAGUGCUAAGAGAAUAAUUUUGAUGCUUGAUCAGUUAGAAAAACUUCACAGCUGAAAAGAGUUGAGGUUUCUAUAAUGGUUUUGAUACUGUAACAAAAUAUGAACAAAUGAGCCUUUGUCAGGUGACCAGAUCAUCUAGGACUUAACCAACAAGUUAAAUCAACUCCCCUUUAUUGUGGUCAGCACAACUUGAUUUAUUAAUGUCUAGGUUAACAAAGUGAUUGACAGCAGCUUAUAGCAAGGCAGCAAAAUCAAUUGUACAAAGAUCUGGAACUGGAGCUUUGCUGACUCUAUUCUGAUAACAUUGAAUGCACAGAAAACGUCACAGCUGGACUGUGCAAGGGUCAGUGGCCAGCUGAGCCAAUAAAGGACUCAUAUGAAGGGAAGGCUUUCAAGGUGGGUGGAUUACACUGCUUGGCAGGGGAGUGCUGCUGGGUUUUGCAGCAGCCUAGUGCAUCUGACAGGUUUGAGCAGCUGCAGAGCCAGUCCUGCACUGGCAGUGUGGGCAGGGUCUCAAGGGCUGUGAGGGAUGUGCCAUCAGCAGAUUGCUUGAGGGGCACAGGGAUACCCAAAAGACAAUGCCUGACAUGAAUUAGGUCUCCCAGCAGCAUAGCUGCUCCAGGCUCCUUGGUGAUGCAGCUGUGCCUGAGGGUACAUACACAGCAGUCGUCCUUGGUCAUAAUAAUAAUGUCAUUUCAUCCUCUCACAUGAGCAUUUCUGGCAGUGGAAAGAGGCUCACCACUAUUGAUGAUUCCAGUCACCAUCUCUCCGGUCAUUUUCUGAAGAGGGAUCUGGAUAGGCUGGAUCAAUGGACCAAGACCAAUGGAGCUUGGGGGACACCUGUAUCAUCAUCUGCUAUCAACUUCUACUAUUUCAGCUGUUAAGAAAUUAAAGAAGUUAACCUCAUCUCAGCUGUGGUCCACCUGCAGAGAACAGAUAUUGUGGCACACCCAUAUGGAUAAGUGACUAAAAGAGCAUUUUUAAUAGCAUGUAGUAGAAAACAUCUAGCUGAGCCAGCCAGACAACUCUGUCCUCUCUGAGAAGUUGCUAAAUUUCAUUUGAUAAGGCUUCCAAUGCAUGCAAGUAUAAAAAAAAUCUGCUACUUUUUGCCAGACUCCAGCCCUAUCAAAGCUUCUGAAGAUCUUUUUUUUGUAUUUUUGAAGAGGACCUCCCUAAGAUCAGCCCUCCAGACCAAAGGAAAAUCAAGCCUGUUUCUAUAAGCAUUGGAGCUAGACACGUGUUUUGUUCCUUGUUUGGAUCAGGUGUAUGGCUGGGUGUCCAUGUGUCUGCUCUCCCAUCCCUGUGCUCCACUGAGAGAAGAUCUCACCCAUCACCACUCACUAGCUCCAGUGUGAUGGUGCUGGUUCCCAGAGGCUCUUAGAGUGUUGCCACCAAAUCCUGCUAGACCUUUGGGAAUGAUGUUCUGAGACAGAAGCUACUUAAUUCAAAAUCUUUAGGUAAUUCCAUCUCUUCCUGUUCCCUUGGAGUAGGUUCUGAACGACCUGAUCAAUGCACUCUCUUCCAUAAGAUAACAGAUGGUCAGCAGAGACCACCCCAUUUCUGCUCUGAAGUUGCCUGGCUUAUGAAAGGAAAGCUUGAAAUAAAAUACAUCCUGUGCUCUUGCUGGUGGUUUUUCCCAGAUCCACAGAGAGUUUACUGGAAUGCAGCAUCCACCAGCACUGUGAGCCAGAUAUCCCAUUUAUGGGCUUUUAUCCCUUUUAUUGAUGUCUCUUCCUUGUACCUGGUGAUAUGUAGAAAUGUAAGACUGGCUUUGAGUGGUUAUUUACAGAAAUGUGAGUCGCUUUCCCAGGUAUUUUUGUUUUCAAGCCUCUCUAUCACCUUGGCAUGAAGCUAUUAAAAGUAUUAACCUCUGGAACACCUUCAUUGCAAUUGAAUCAGCAAUGGGGUAACACCAGGUUUUAGGAAGGAAGAGUGCCAAUCACUUAUAAAAACUGAUUCAAGUCCUGCCAAGUAUUUUAAACCUUCUGGAUAUUUUUGAAGAAGAGGGAAGCUGUUUGGGUAAUGUAAACUGAAUGUCAAAGAUAACAUCUUCUAUGAGGGGUUUUCUAAAUGGUGCCAGGUUCUGAUAAAUGUAAUAGAUACUAUUUUUUAAUAUUAAUGUAUCUGUCUGUUUUGGCAUUGUGUUGUGAAGUUCACUUUAAAUCAUUAAGCUUUACAUUAUUAAAUUAUGAUGGCACCAUAAAAAUGCUAUACUUUGAAGAGGGAUUAAUAUAUAAAUCAUAAUAGUCCUGAUUCAAUUCACAGUGGUUUGAUUUCUCCAUGGAACCUACAAUCUUAAAGAGGUAGGCUGUUAAAGAGAUCAACUCAUUUAUAUUUUGGGUGCUCUUUUAGGUCCAAGUCAAUUAGCUUAAAAUUCUUCAACCAUAAAAUCCUUGUUUGCCAUCUAGGCAAGUCCUGUAAUAACCACACUGUACUUACUGGUAUGUAGAUUGGAACUGAAUUAUUUUAAAACUGUAAUUCUCUACCUUAAAAUCUUCUUCCUGUAUUUUUUAGAUGAGUGUGUCCUUUAUUGGCCAAUACAUGAUAUAUCAAAUACUUCCAUCCUGCAUUUUCAUGACCAGCAGUAUGCUAGUGCAGUGCAGUGUGUGUUAUUGAAGUACUUGCCCUUUCAAAGAAGAAAGAGAGCUCAAAUGAUCACCAGCAACCACAUCAUGAGUAUUUUGGGAAGAUUGCCCUUUAGAGAUGUGCAGACAGUGUGCCCCCCUCCCAUUCACAGCACAAAAGGUCUCACUUCAAAUGGUUUUGGUAGAAGAGGAGCCUCCACUCACUCAACACUGAUGGAUGUCUCUGCUGAGUCACACGCCUGCCUCACGAGCACGGCAGGACUGGUACUCUGCCAGUAUGGUACCGUGCCAAAAUUGUGUCCUGUGUGGUGUAAGUGGCCAUUCAUCAAGUGCAACUGACGACAUCCUGAUGAUUGAGUCAGGUUUAUUUGAUUUUUGAAGAGACCUUUUCAUUUACAUGCUGUAAGUGGAACAAUCUCCUGCUUGCUAUGAUCACAGUUUCCCUGUUUCUUUUGCAGCACAUACCAAUAUAAUAACCUAAAGUAACACCUACAUUACAACCAUUGCUGCAUGCCAGUAGAUUUUACAGGAAUAUUUGACAUGAUUGCAUGUUCCUGUUACCUUAUUUAACACAGUGCUCUCUUAGUACUUUUUUUUUUUCUCGUAAAUUGUGUCAUUUCUUUUCUUAGGCAAGAAAAGGCUUUCCCUGUCACUUAUUACCUGAGAAGAUGGUAAUGUAUCAUGCAAAAAAAAUUGCUAAAGGAAACAAUUCAGGCCACUUUUCUGUGGGCUGUAAUUGGCUACCCAGUGCCCCCUGGUGAGACACCUCCCUACGCAGCAUAUCUCACCCAAGUUAAGGUCACAAGAAACUAUUAGAUCACCAAAUUUGGCCUGAUACAUAUCAAAGGCAUUUAAGUUUCACCCAGGAAUGUCUUUCUCAUUACAUAUUAAGUUUUCAGGUGAUAAAACUACACCAUUGUCUAGUGCUUGGGGGCUGCUGAGGUCACUUAAUUUGUUCAGCCUGGAGAAGAGGGGACUGAGGAGAAAACUUCACUGCAGUUACAACUUCCUUGUGAGGGGAAGAGGGGAGGCAGACGCUGAUCUCUUCUCUGUGGUGAUACUGACAGGAUCCAAAGGAUUGGCUUGAAAUUGUGUCAGGGGAGGUUUAGGUUGUAUAUCAGGAAAAGGUUCUUCACCCAGAGGGUGGUUGGGCACUGGAACAGCUCCCCAGGGAAAAGGUCACAGCAGCAAGCCUGGCAGAGUUCAAGGACAGUGCUCUCAGACACAUGGUGUGACUUCUGGGGUGAUUCUGUGCAGGGUCAGGAGUGGGACUUGAUCCUUUUGGGACCCUUCAAAUUCAGAAUAUUCUCUCUAUGGUUUAACAAGAUCCCUCCCUGUGCCCCAGCAGAAAUAUUUCUUGUUCCCACCAGGACCAAGAAACCUGGAAGCCAAGGACCCCAUGGCUGCAUACAGACUGCACAAUCAAGCAGAGCCAGCUACACACUGCAAGAUAAAGCAUGGUUAAUGUGAACAGCUUGCUCACGUCCACAACACAUGCUGCUUGGAUUUGUACCUCUCCUGAGCAUUACACUUUCUGAUGAGUUCAACAAGUCUGAAGUUAUACAAGUGCUGUGUUGCAACCCAUCAGGGGCAUAGUUUGAUAACAUGACAUGACCUGGGUGUGUUGCAUACCUUGAGAAAUUGCCUGUGGGUACAAAGUCUGCUGGGAUAACAUUGGAGGAUUGUGUGGGGUGGAGGAGCCAAACUGACACAGUUUUGUCCAUAAUGCCUAUUGUGACUGCUCCUUGCAGUCUGCUGUCUCCUGGACUGGCCCAUUGUCAUCUCACAGUGGGCUAACUGGGACAGGUCAACAACAUGUCACAUACUGACAGCUGCUACAGUGUUGUGCCACCUGAGGGCUGAUUUUACCUAAGACCUGAAGAAUCAGAGCAUGAUCUUCCUUCUGCAGCCUGGUGGCCCAGCUGGACAGGACAGCUCACUGGUCCCUGAUGCUCCAUUCACUGCACAAGGGAUCAGCCUGUCUUCCUAACAAGUCCAGAGCUGCACUUCAUAAUUAUAUGUAAGAUACAAAUCUCCUUAAAAGAGAACUCAGUGUCCUGUGACUCAGUUGUAAGACACAGAUGGGGCCAUGUUUACAGCCAGAUCUGCCCAGAGCAUUGCAAUGCCAAACGUGGACAGCUGAGCUGCCUCAGGUGCCAAAAGCAAAAAGGCCAUGAUGGCUCAGUGCUGCCCUAAGGUGGAGAAGCAGGCUGAAAGUAAGUCACUGCUUUGUGUGACAGGAGCACCCAGGAGAUAUCAGUGCCACACAGCAAUUGCAACAAUUUUGUCUUGUAAAAAAGAAAGUUGUAUCAAACUUCAGGGUUGUCCUGUGCAGGGGCAGGAGCUGGACUUGAUAUUUCUGGGUCACUUCCAAAUCAGGAUAUUCUAUGAUUCUGUGAUGGUCCACAAAAAGCCUGUUCUAAAGGGUAAAUUGGAAAUGUAAAAUACAUAAAAAACCCUCAUUUUCUAGAAAAUUGUUCCAAUUAAGGAACAAGAGACAUAAAACCCAGUUCAGCCUUUAAGCUGCCGAAUGCUAUGAGAUGGGUAUUUCCUUGCAGAGCUGAGUCUUAGGGAACUUGGAGAACAGUCAGGAAAACCCACCAGAGAGUAUUUGGUUUAAUCCUUACUAAUGAAUCGACAAGGGUUUCGCUAGAAGACUGUAUGUGGAUUAUUUUAUUCCCAGCUCCACUAUCCAUGCUUUCAGAUCAGCAACACUCACUUUUUGAGGUCCUGUGAUUAAAUGUGACCUGCCAGUUCUGUGGAAAUUUCCUACUCUUGUUACUGCUCAGCCUCUUUGAUGCUGUGUCUGUCACAACAGCCACUUGGUGCACUUAGAGAGACAGUACUCCUCGUCUUGACAGAGUAUGUAGACAGCCCUACACCAACAUGUUAUUAUGUUGAAAUUUGUCCUCUUUUAACCUUACUGUUGCUAUUUCAGGAGCAAUUUUCAUUUAUACAAAUUGGACCUAGUGAAGCAUGCAAAUAUCAACUAAAUGUGAACUCAUGGAAAUUUCUCCUUGCUGAACAGCAGCAUUUGAGCAAUUAAUGAGAUUUGUAUUUCCUGUUCAUAAAUAAAAAAAUAUCUAAUUUUG